This 450-nucleotide ribosomal RNA is filed under the name uncultured bacterium. Its description in RNAcentral is "partial 16S ribosomal RNA". It matches the Rfam family "Bacterial small subunit ribosomal RNA", at positions 29 to 507 of the family's 1533-position model. The record is from RNAcentral.
AUGCACGCUGGCGGCGUGCCUCACCCCUGCAAGUCGAGCGGCAGCGAGGGGUGCUUGCACCCUGUCGGCGAGCGGCGGACGGCUGAGUAGCGCGUGGGAACGUGCCCCAAAGUGAGGAAUAACUGCCCGAAAGGGUAGCUAAUACCGCAUAUUAUCUUCGGAUCAAAGGAUUUAUCCGCUUUGGGAGCGGCUCGCGUCGGAUUAGGUAGUUGGUGAGGUAAUGGCUCACCAAGCCGACGAUCCGUAGCUGGUCUGAGAGGAUGACCAGCCAGACUGGAACUGAGACACGGUCCAGACUCCUACGGGAGGCAGCAGUGAGGAAUCUUCCACAAUGGGCGAAAGCCUGAUGGAGCAACGCCGCGUGCAGGACGAAGGCCUUCGGGUUGUAAACUGCUUUUAUAAGUGAGGAAUAUGACGGUAACUUAUGAAUAAGGAUCGGCUAACUACGUG